GCGGCAGGCCUAACACAUGCAAGUCGAGCGGUAACAGGGGAAGCUUGCUUCUCGCUACGAGCGGCGGACGGGUGAGUAAUGUAUGGGGAUCUGCCCGAUAGAGGGGGAUAACUACUGGAAACGGUAGCUAAUACCGCAUAAUCUCUUAGGAGCAAAGCAGGGGAACUUCUGUCCUUGCGCUAUCGGAUGAACCCAUAUGGGAUUAGCUAGUAGGUGAGGUAAUGGCUCACCUAGGCGACAAUCCCUAGCUGGUCUGAGAGGAUGAUCACCCACACUGGGACUGAGACACGGCCCACACUCCUACAGGAGGCAGCAGUGGGGAAUAUUGCACAAUGGGCGCAAGCCUGAUGCAGCCAUGCCGCGUGUAUGAAAAAGGCCCUAGGGUUGUAAAGUACUUUCACUCGGGAGGAAGGCGUUGAUGCUAAUAUCAUCAUCGAUUGACGUUACCGACAGAAAAAGCACCGGCUAACUCCGUGCCACCACCCGCGGUAAUACGGAGGGUGCAAGCGUUAAUCGGAAUUACUGGGCGUAAAGCGCACGCACGCGGUUGAUUAAGUUACAUGUGAAAUCCCCGGGCUUAACCUGGGAAUGGCAUCUAAGACUGGUCAGCUAUAGUCUUGUAUAGGGGGGUAGAAUUCCAUGUGUAUCGGUGUAAUGCGUAGAGAUGUGUAGAAAUACCGGUGGCGAAAGCGGCCCCCUGGACCAAU
RNAcentral lists this ribosomal RNA (707 nucleotides) under Providencia sp. KRD22. RNAcentral describes it as "bacterial SSU rRNA". It matches the Rfam family "Bacterial small subunit ribosomal RNA", at positions 39 to 738 of the family's 1533-position model. The record is from RNAcentral. Lineage: Bacteria; Pseudomonadati; Pseudomonadota; Gammaproteobacteria; Enterobacterales; Morganellaceae.